GUUCAUUACUGUUAUUAUUAUGGCUUUAAGGUUCCUGGUGGAAUGCACACUGAAACUGUGCUGCUCUCACGGAGAGGCGGCCCCAACACGGCUGGUUCAUUACUGUUAUUAUUAUGGCUUACGGGUCCUGGUGGAAUGGACACUGAAACUGUGCUGCUCUCACGGAGAGGCGGCCCCACCACGGCUGGUUCAUUACUGUUAUUAUUAUGGCUUUAAGGUUCCUGGUGGAAUGGACACUGAAACUGUGCUGCUCUCACGGAGAGGCGGCCCCAUCACGGCUGGUUCAU
Brienomyrus brachyistius is the source of this 287-nucleotide long non-coding RNA. RefSeq lists it as uncharacterized. The record is from RefSeq and is a predicted model, not a curated record. Lineage: Eukaryota; Metazoa; Chordata; Actinopteri; Osteoglossiformes; Mormyridae. The transcript has 3 exons.